Molecule: ribosomal RNA, 465 nt
Filed under: uncultured bacterium
Lineage: Bacteria
Description: partial 16S ribosomal RNA
Rfam family: Bacterial small subunit ribosomal RNA
Source: RNAcentral
GACGAACGCUGGCGGCGUGCUUAACACAUGCAAGUCGAACGGAAAGGCCCCCUUGUGGGGUACUCGAGUGACGAACGGGUGAGUAACACGUGAGUAACCUACCCUUGACUUUGGGAUAACUUCAGGAAACUGGGGCUAAUACCGGAUAGGAGCUCCUGCUGCAUGGUGGGGGUUGGAAAGUUUCGGCGGUUGGGGAUGGACUCGCGGCUUAUCAGCUUGUUGGUGGGGUAGUGGCUCACCAAGGCUUUGACGGGUAGCCGGCCUGAGAGGGUGACCGGCCACAUUGGGACUGAGAUACGGCCCAGACUCCUACGGGAGGCAGCAGUGGGGAAUAUUGCACAAUGGGCGGAAGCCUGAUGCAGCAACGCCGCGUGCGGGAUGACGGCCUUCGGGUUGUAAACCGCUUUCGCCUGUGACGAAGCGUGAGUGACGGUAAUGGGUAAAGAAGCACCGGCUAACUACGUG